UCUGACUUCCCUAAGCUAGUAGUCCUUGUCUUCCCUAUCAAGGCCUCGGGUUUCAUUGAGAAAUAUACCAAGAAGUUUAUAUUUCUAGAACAAAUUUUUGUAAAUUUUUUAAAGGACAACAACACCUAUGACUAAGAUGAUCGGAAAGGGAAAACGACGAGGACUGCGGCGCAAAGCAGAAACGACCGUCCGGGCUAUGAUCAUUGUUGAGGAUCAAAUGUAUCCUGGCUUAAUAAUGGCGGCCCAAAGCCGCCUGUUUGCCCUACACUGCCUGGCCGAGGUGCGUUUUGUGGAGCUCUCCUAGAUAUCCAAAUAUGAAAUCCAUAUAUUCUCUGUUGUGCACAUAACGACAUAUAAAUAGUCUCGCUUGCGGCUAAA
Molecule: long non-coding RNA, 378 nt
Organism: Drosophila kikkawai
Lineage: Eukaryota; Metazoa; Arthropoda; Insecta; Diptera; Drosophilidae
Source: RefSeq, a predicted model, not a curated record